GCGAUUGGGCCGACGUCGCAUGCUCCCGGCCGCCAUGGCGGCCGCGGGAAUUCGACUCUACGCACGCGUGAGGGACGAAGGCCUCUGGGCUGUAAACCUCUUUUAUCAAGGAAGAAGAUCUGACGGCACUUGAUGAAUAAGCCACGGCUAAUUCCGUGCCAGCAGCCGCGGUAAUACGGGAGUGGCAAGCGUUAUCCGGAGUUAUUGGGCGUAAAGCGUCCGCAGGCGGCCCUUCAAGUCUGCUGUUAAAAAGUGGAGCUUAACUCCAUCAUGGCAGUGGAAACUGUUGGGCUUGAGUGUGGUAGGGGCAGAGGGAAUUCCCGGUGUAGCGGUGAAAUGCGUAGAUAUCGGGAAGAACACCAGUGGCGAAGGCGCUCUGCUGGGCCAUUACUGACGCUCAUGGACGAAAGCCAGGGGAGCGAAAG
This 425-nucleotide ribosomal RNA is filed under the name uncultured cyanobacterium. RNAcentral describes it as "bacterial SSU rRNA". It matches the Rfam family "Bacterial small subunit ribosomal RNA", at positions 312 to 774 of the family's 1533-position model. Lineage: Bacteria; Bacillati; Cyanobacteriota. The record is from RNAcentral.